CAAGGACUUGGUUCACAGAGACUUCAACGAGUAAACCAGGGUCUGCUUGAAGGUUGGGCACUGCAGCAGGCUCUUGUCAAAAGACUGUGGACAAAGGCAUAUAUUAUGAGGAUGCUGGUCACAAUUUGUGCAAUACCUUAAAUGGGUCCACAAGUUAAUAAAAGAUAAUUUUUUUAAAAGAAAAUAGAAUGGAAUGAAAACCUCCUAGCUUUAGAUUAAGUUAAAAAAUGUAGUUAGCACCACCAUGAUAAGUACAAGUUCAUAAGCACCUGUGAUAUGCGUACAUGAAUAAAGAAUUUAAGAAUUUUA
This is a long non-coding RNA of Pararge aegeria (speckled wood butterfly), 309 nucleotides long. RefSeq lists it as uncharacterized. The record is from RefSeq and is a predicted model, not a curated record. The transcript is spliced from 2 exons. NCBI's taxonomy places the organism in Eukaryota, Metazoa, Arthropoda, Insecta, Lepidoptera, Nymphalidae.